UAUAACUUAACGCGAAGGACCUUACCUACCCUUGACAUGUAUGGAAUCCUGCUGAGAGGUGGGAGUGCCCGAAAGGGAGCCAUAACACAGGUGCUGCAUGGCUGUCGUCAGCUCGUGUCGUGAGAUGUUGGGUUAAGUCCCGCAACGAGCGCAACCCUUGUCCCUAGUUGCUACGCAAGAGCACUCUAGGGAGACUGCCGGUGACAAACCGGAGGAAGGUGGGGAUGACGUCAAGUCCUCAUGGCCCUUAUGGGUAGGGCUUCACACGUCAUACAAUGGUCGGAACAGAGGGUCGCCAACCCGCGAGGGGGAGCCAAUCCCAGAAAACCGAUCGUAGUCCGGAUCGCACUCUGCAACUCGAGUGCGUGAAGCUGGAAUCGCUAGUAAUCGCGGAUCAGCAUGUACGCGGGAAUACGACAU
Molecule: ribosomal RNA, 420 nt
Filed under: Burkholderia sp. Vi23
Lineage: Bacteria; Pseudomonadati; Pseudomonadota; Betaproteobacteria; Burkholderiales; Burkholderiaceae
Description: bacterial SSU rRNA
Rfam family: Bacterial small subunit ribosomal RNA
Source: RNAcentral